RNAcentral lists this ribosomal RNA (473 nucleotides) under uncultured bacterium. RNAcentral's name for it is "bacterial SSU rRNA". It matches the Rfam family "Bacterial small subunit ribosomal RNA", at positions 29 to 524 of the family's 1533-position model. The record is from RNAcentral.
AACAAACGCUGGCGGCGUGCCUAAUACAUGCAAGUCGAACGACGUAGCAAUACGGAGUGGCGCACGGGUGAGUAACGCGUGGGUAAUCUUCCUUUAAGCGUGGGAUAACCAGUCGAAAGACUGGCUAAUACCGCAUAAGACCACAGAAUCUGCGGAUUCAGGGGUCAAAGGUUUUUCGCUUUUAGAUGAGCCCGCGUAAGAUUAGCUAGUUGGUGAGGUAACGGCUCACCAAGGCAACGAUCUUUAACUGGUCUGAGAGGAUGAUCAGUCACACUGGAACUGAGACACGGUCCAGACUCCUACGGGAGGCAGCAGUAGGGAAUAUUGCACAAUGGAGGAAACUCUGAUGCAGCGACGCCCGCGUGAGUGAUGAAGGACUUCGGUUCGUAAAGCGUCUGUUGCAAGGGAAAAAGCAAGUGAUUGUACCUUGCGAGGAAGGGUCGGCGUAAAUUCGUGCCAGCAGCCGCGGUAAU